CCUACGGGAGGCAGCAGUGGGGAAUAUCGGGCAAUGGGCGCAAGCCUGACCCAGCAACGCCGCGUGAAUGAAGAAGGCUUUCGGGUUGUAAACUUCUUUUAUCCGGGACGAAGCAAACGAUGGUACCUGAUGAAUAAGCCACGGCUAACUACGUGCCAGCCGCCGCGGUAAUACGUAGGUGGCAAGCGUUAUCCGUAGUUACUGGGGGGAAAGGGCGUGUAGGCGGGAGUGGAUGUAAGAUGUGAAACCUAUGGGCUCAACCCAUAGACUGCGUUUGAAACUGUACUUCUUGAGUGCUGGAGAGGCAAGCGGAAUACCGGGUGUAGCGGUGAAAUUCGUAGAUAUACGGAGGAACACCAGUGGCGAAGGCGGAUUGCUGGACAGUAACUGACGCUGAGGCGCGAAAGCGUGGGGAGCAAACAGGAUUAGAUACCCUAGUAGUC
This 443-nucleotide ribosomal RNA is filed under the name uncultured bacterium. Its description in RNAcentral is "partial 16S ribosomal RNA". It matches the Rfam family "Bacterial small subunit ribosomal RNA", at positions 338 to 795 of the family's 1533-position model. The record is from RNAcentral.